AAGGAAGACACUCUGAGUCUAUGGCAGUGC
RNAcentral lists this non-coding RNA (30 nucleotides) under Mus musculus (house mouse). The record is from RNAcentral. Lineage: Eukaryota; Metazoa; Chordata; Mammalia; Rodentia; Muridae.